UCUCUCUUCUAGGUUGUUCUAUGCUGGAGCUCGAGAGGGUCAACUCCCUGCUGCUCUGGGUUUGGUCCACACAGACCUCUUCACACCAGUGCCGUCCCUCAUCUUCACAUGUUUGCUGUCCAUGAUGUACGCCAUCUCCCAGGACAUCUUCUCUGUCAUCAAUCUCUUCAGCUUCUUCACCUGGCUGUGUGUUGGUAUGGCCAUUGCUGGCAUGCUCUGGCUGCGCUUUACCAAAGCCCGACCUCAGAAGGCCAAUUAAGGUGUAUCUGUUCAUCCCUGUGACUUUCGUUUUGGGCUGUGUCUUCAUGAUCGUUGUGUCGUUCUGGGCUGCUCCAUUUGAGUGCCUGUUAGGCAGCGGCAUUAUUCUUACAGGCAUCCCAGGCGUACCUACUGGGCUACAAGUGGAAAAAACCCCAUGUGAUCAAGAAGAUGCUGGAAAUCUUCACCAUGUUCUGUCAGAAGAUCUUCAUGUCUGUUCCUGAGGAGAGGGAGCAGCGAGGAGGAUGAAUAAUGCUGGACAGACUGAACAAGAUGGACUGUCAAUAUCUUCGCCUGAACAUUCUUAAUAUGUUUAUAUUAAUUCACUUGUGAUUUGGCUAAAGCA
Molecule: long non-coding RNA, 604 nt
Organism: Perca fluviatilis (European perch)
Lineage: Eukaryota; Metazoa; Chordata; Actinopteri; Perciformes; Percidae
Exons: 4
Source: RefSeq, a predicted model, not a curated record